Molecule: ribosomal RNA, 422 nt
Filed under: uncultured bacterium
Lineage: Bacteria
Description: bacterial SSU rRNA
Rfam family: Bacterial small subunit ribosomal RNA
Source: RNAcentral
AGCGAACGCUGGCGGCAGGCCUAACACAUGCAAGUCGAACGAACUCUUCGGAGUUAGUGGCGGACGGGUGAGUAACACGUGGGAACGUGCCUUUUGGUUCGGAAUAACUCAGGGAAACUUGUGCUAAUACCGAAUGUGCCCUUCGGGGGAAAGAUUUAUCGCCAUUAGAGCGGCCCGCGUCUGAUUAGCUUGUUGGUGAGGUAAUGGCUCACCAAGGCUACGAUCAGUAGCUGGUCUGAGAGGAUGACCAGCCACAUUGGGACUGAGACACGGCCCAAACUCCUACGGGAGGCAGCAGUGGGGAAUCUUGCGCAAUGGGCGAAAGCCUGACGCAGCCAUGCCGCGUGUAUGAUGAAGGGUCUUAGGAUUGUAAAAUACUUUCACCGGUGAAGAUAAUGACUGUAGCCGGGAGAAGAAGCCCC